Long non-coding RNA from Portunus trituberculatus (swimming crab), 884 nucleotides. RefSeq lists it as uncharacterized. The transcript is spliced from 3 exons. NCBI's taxonomy places the organism in Eukaryota, Metazoa, Arthropoda, Malacostraca, Decapoda, Portunidae. The record is from RefSeq and is a predicted model, not a curated record.
GAAGGUGGUGGUGGGAAGUUUCCAUGGGGGAAGGGUGGGCAGCACGAGCUGGUCCGCAUCGUCCAGUCUCACGCCCCUUGGUGUGUCCUGUCUCGGUGAGGGGUGGGUGGGUGGACAAGCCAGUUACCAGCCAGACUUGCUCCUUCGUAGCUUUAGUGGCAUUACUUGGUGUCUAAUAGCGAGUAUUUCCUUUCUCUCACCCCUUAGAUCGGCCGGGCUUGCGCGGGACGGACGAGAUCGCCAAACUCAAUGAAGCCGUCGGCCGAUCACUCCUUAUGGAGCUGGACAAGACCCACAGGUAUCCAGUCAAGGGGGACGUGACUGUGUACGCCUUCCUGAUCGCCAAGAUGCCGGCACUCAGGGAGCUCAGCAUGCUGCACCAGGACGCCCUAAGCAAGUUCAAGCGAGCCGCGCCACACCUGCAGUUCUCGGACCUCCACAAGGAAAUCUUCAAUGUGGACUCCUGAGGUGCCUCGCGCGGACUACGUGGUAACGAAGUUCAGUGUGUUGGGGGAACAUCCUCCCCUCCUCCUCCUCCUCCCCUCCUCUUCCUCUUCUUCCUUCUCCUCCUCUUCCUCCUCCUCGGCUCUGUUGCUCCAUCACAUCGUUUUAUACCGGAGAGUAACGUGUUGUACAUUACCUUCGUGAAUUGUUUGUUAGUGUUACUUGUUAGGGCAGAACACCCCUCCAUUACCCGGGCUCUUUUAUAAGAUACCAUUUCUAGAUGUGUUGUGAGUUUUACAGAGUCUAACAAGUGUUCUGUGUAGAGGAGAGGGUGCCGGAAGCCUCCACUGUAAUCUUAAGCAGCCCGCAGCAGCCCCACUGUAGAUUAUAAUGUUGAUCAUGAUGCCUUAUAAUCGAGAGGUCAGCACGCGGCUGCUUAC